UGGGGAAUUUUGGACAAUGGGCGAAAGCCUGAUCCAGCAAUGCCGCGUGUGUGAAGAAGGCCUUCGGGUUGUAAAGCACUUUUGUCCGGAAAGAAAUCCGUCUGGCUAAUACCCGGACGGGAUGACGGUACCGGAAGAAUAAGCACCGGCUAACUACGUGCCAGCAGCCGCGGUAAU
This 177-nucleotide ribosomal RNA is filed under the name uncultured bacterium. RNAcentral's name for it is "partial 16S ribosomal RNA". It matches the Rfam family "Bacterial small subunit ribosomal RNA", at positions 355 to 524 of the family's 1533-position model. The record is from RNAcentral.